UAAUAUGUAUUCUGGUCAAAGAAACCAACAAAAAAAACGUGAAAAGAAGGAAAAAUAAGAGCAACGGCUGAUCGAAAUUCUUCAAUUCUCUUCUCCUUUUUUCCUAUUGAUACAAAUUAUGUACAAAAUAAGGUAUAGUUGUUGUACGCAUAUGGCAAGUUUAACAAUUUUGUUGCAUCAUUCUGGCAAGUGGAACAAUGAGAGCAAUUAUAUCAAUUUUUCAAUUGGGG
This 230-nucleotide long non-coding RNA is filed under the name Nicotiana benthamiana. Its description in RNAcentral is "long non-coding RNA (NBEN_LNC039549)". The record is from RNAcentral. Lineage: Eukaryota; Viridiplantae; Streptophyta; Magnoliopsida; Solanales; Solanaceae.